CAGCAGCCGCGGGAAUACGAAGGGUGCAAGCGUUAAUCGGAAUUACUGGGCGUAAAGCGCGCGUAGGUGGUUUGGUAAGAUGGAUGUGAAAUCCCCGGGCUCAACCUGGGAACUGCAUCCAUAACUGCCUGACUAGAGUACGGUAGAGGGUGGUGGAAUUUCCUGUGUAGCGGUGAAAUGCGUAGAUAUAGGAAGGAACACCAGUGGCGAAGGCGACCACCUGGACUGAUACUGACACUGAGGUGCGAAAGCGUGGGGAGCAAACAGGAUUAGAUACCCGGGUAGUCCCUGUCUCUUAUAC
Molecule: ribosomal RNA, 301 nt
Filed under: uncultured bacterium
Lineage: Bacteria
Description: partial 16S ribosomal RNA
Rfam family: Bacterial small subunit ribosomal RNA
Source: RNAcentral